This is a small nuclear RNA of Sorex araneus (European shrew), 160 nucleotides long. Its record names the gene U1. It matches the Rfam family "U1 spliceosomal RNA". From Rfam's summary of the family: U1 is a small nuclear RNA (snRNA) component of the spliceosome (involved in pre-mRNA splicing). Its 5' end forms complementary base pairs with the 5' splice junction, thus defining the 5' donor site of an intron. The record is from Ensembl. NCBI's taxonomy places the organism in Eukaryota, Metazoa, Chordata, Mammalia, Eulipotyphla, Soricidae.
AUACCAAUCCAAUCUGGGAGAUACUAUGACCAGAAAGGUGGUUUUCCCAGGGCGAGGCUUAUCCACGCACUGUGUGCUGACCCUUGUGAUUUUCCCAAAUUUGGGAAACUUGACUGCACAAUUUGUCAUACUGGGGGCAAUACAUUCAUGUUCUCCCCUG